GAUAAACGCUGGCGGCGGCACAUAAGACAUGCAAGUCGAACGGACUUAACCAUUAGUUACUAUUGGAGCGGUUAGUGGCGGACUGGUGAGUAACACGUAAGCAACCUGCCUGUUAGAGGGGAACAACAGUUAGAAAUGACUGCUAAUACCGCAUAUGCCUUAAUUAUCACAUGAUAAUAGAGGGAAAGGAGCAAUCCGCUGAUAGAUGGGCUUGCGUCUGAUUAGAUAGUUGGUAAGGUAACGGCUUACCAAGUCGACGAUCAGUAGCCGGACUGAGAGGUUGAACGGCCACAUUGGGACUGAGAUACGGCCCAG
RNAcentral lists this ribosomal RNA (315 nucleotides) under uncultured bacterium. Its description in RNAcentral is "bacterial SSU rRNA". It matches the Rfam family "Bacterial small subunit ribosomal RNA", at positions 28 to 334 of the family's 1533-position model. The record is from RNAcentral.